CCUACGGGGCGCAGCAGUGAGGAAUAUUGGUCAAUGGGCGGAAGCCUGAACCAGCCAAGUCGCGUGAGGGAAGAAGGCCCUGCCGGUCGCAGACCUCAUUGGACGGGGAGCAAGGCCGCCGACGUGUCAGCGGAAGGAGAGUACCCGUAGAACAAGCAUCGGCUAACUCCGUGCCAGCAGCCGCGGUAAUACGGAGGAUGCGAGCGUUAUCCGGAUUUAUUGGGCGUAAAGAGAACGCAGGCGGUCU
This 247-nucleotide ribosomal RNA is filed under the name uncultured bacterium. RNAcentral describes it as "partial 16S ribosomal RNA". It matches the Rfam family "Bacterial small subunit ribosomal RNA", at positions 338 to 581 of the family's 1533-position model. The record is from RNAcentral.